This 699-nucleotide ribosomal RNA is filed under the name Triticum aestivum (bread wheat). RNAcentral describes it as "partial small subunit ribosomal RNA". Lineage: Eukaryota; Viridiplantae; Streptophyta; Magnoliopsida; Poales; Poaceae. The record is from RNAcentral.
AUGUACAAAAGUCUUAAAGGGCAUCAGACGCUAUGUGAUGUCCUGAAAAAGCAGAUUCUAAACCGAAACCCUAGGAAAGAGGGUGUAGGGUUCGUAAGGAAAAUGAAUGCAGAUGGCUCUUACUGGAAACCUGAGCAGUACCCCAAAACCAUGUGGGUUGCUGCAAAGGAACCUUCAGCAGAUCCAUCCAAUCUAUCUGGCUUCACUUGUACUAACCCCAUUAUCAUUGAUGAAUCCUUUGAUGCAAACUAUAUACUGUUUAAGAAUCAGAAUGGUGAAGUAUUUGCCAGGUACAUUGGUACUAACUGCAAGAAUGGACCGCCUAUGAAGAAGAUCUGGGUUCCGAAAAGGUGUCUGGAGAGUCUUCCUGUGAAUGUCAUCAUGACACCUCACGUGAAGAAGACAAACCUCAGACCAAAGGCUUCAUAUGGUCCAAAGGCUUCAUACAGACAGAGGACUCACCUGAGUCGCACUAACGCAAAUGUUUUGCAGGGAAACCAUACUCAGGCAUAUGAAUAUGAGAGUGGUUCAUCAAACCGCCAUGUUCAUAAGACCAAGAACUAUUCUGCUUAUUCUUAUGAGUACUAUUGUCCGCCUGCAAGACUGUUUGCCAAGGCUUCAAAGCCAAAAUUCUCAGAUGUUGCACUUAGACUUAUUGCUUCUAAGCCGCCCUUGAUGUGGGUGGCUAAGAAAGCUUAA